Molecule: non-coding RNA, 19267 nt
Organism: Anas platyrhynchos (mallard)
Lineage: Eukaryota; Metazoa; Chordata; Aves; Anseriformes; Anatidae
Source: RefSeq, a predicted model, not a curated record
CCUUCCCCCGACGCCGGGCAGCGCAUCUCCGCCGCCUGAGCCGCUUGCACGGGCAGGUUUGAUUUCUCCAAAACAUUAACGGAACUGUUAUUCUAAUAAAGGUAAACUAGCAAACACGCUUGCCUCUCCGCUCGCUCGGGCUUUGUUUACGUGCUUCAAACGCCACCGUGAGGCCGGCGCACAUACAGCAGCGAGAGCAGCCGCCUGCCAAGGAGCUCUCGGAUUAGCACUUGGCGAAGCAAAACAAACAGCGGCAGCGCGAAAGUCAGCGCGCAGCCCGCUGCCGGCGGCCGGGCGGCUCCGCGGGGGGAGCGCCGCCGGGCCCGGCAACGCGCGGGGCCGCGGGAGGGAAGGAAGGGGGCGGAAUGGAAGGAGAAGGAGAAGGAGAAGGAGAAGGAGAAGGAGAAGGAGAAGGAGAAGGAGAAGGAGAAGGAGAAGGAGAAGGAGAAGGAGAAGGAGAAGGAGAAGGAGAAGGAGAAGGAGAAGGAGGAGUUCUCCCGAGCCGGCCGCCCCGCGUCCCCCCGCGCUGCCCCCCGCCACCCCCGGCCGCUGGUGCGGGGCGGCUCCCGGCGCCGGGGAGCGCUGCGGGGCUUCGCCCGGGGCCGGGGCUUCCCCAGCCCUCCGGGUGCUCGCAGGUCAGAGCCUAAGUUUAUCAUCUACGUUUGAGUCUUUUUUUUGCAACAGAAGGGGGAUUUUUGUAAAAAACAAGGGGCUGCUGUGCCCCACGGACAGCGCCUCCCGCUGUGGCAGGGCUCAGCGCAGGGGGGCUGAGGCACGCUCCGGGCACACGGGAGCCGUGGCGGCGGCUGAGCGGCAGGACACGGUGAUGCCGUCCCCACCGCCACCAAAAGGCUGAGGGCCCGCAGGGACCCUCCCGGGGCACUGCCAGCAGGGGGACGCUGCUGCCCCCCCAGCGCGGCGGGGGGCCCGGCCCCAGCCCCGUCACCCAACUCCUGGUCACAAGUUGCAGCGGCAAACCAAGCGCUGCUCUGAAUCUGGAGAACGCUGACAAGUUAAAAAAGAAAAAAAAAAAGAGGCAGGUACAUUCAGAUGUGGUUAGGAAUGACAGGAGGACUGCAUACCUGGCCCUGUGCAGGUAUGGAGUAAAGCAAGAGAAGCAGUGGUGCAGGUAACUGUGUGGGGAAGGUGCUUCUUCCACCGAAAAGCAUUUGCUCUUCCCAGUCUGGGUGUUUCAGCUAACAGCAGGACUUGUCCAGUUGUCACCUUGAUGAUUUUUCUACUGCCACCUCAGUACACCAUUAUGACCACCGAACGCUGUUAUCAUAUAAAAAAGCACUUCAAGAUGAACGAUCACAUCAAAAGUCCCUUUCAGAAGCAAGUCAGGGCCACCCAGAUGAUACGAGCAGCGAGCACGGCACUCACACCAAGGCACCUCUGCCCCGAGCACACACCUGGGGGGCCCCUGCUGGACCAGAGCCCCCAGCCUCAAGGCUCACGGGCUGUGCUUUGUGAAGGAGGAAGGACAGACAGACAAAUACUGGCACCUCCGUGCCCCCCACGUUUGAGGAGCUGGGAGGGCACGCACGCUACAAGACCCCUUACAGCCCACGCUGCUCCUAUUUUGUAUUACAGCCCCGAGCAAAUCGUAGGUCACGAUACGAAUGUGCAGGCUGCUGAAUAUUUUUCCCUAGAAUCUCAUUCACAGAGAAGCCUUGGCUCACCGUGAUUAUUGCAGUCCCUGCGGGCUACUGUAAGGGGUUAUCAGUGCACCACGGGGCUUUUCUUCUCCUUACUGGCUACGUCCGAUCCUGACAGUGCCUGCUGGAAUUCAGCUGGAGAGGUAUCAAUUCUAUAGUAUAGCACCGUACCUAUCCGUUUAUUUUUGUUUUGUACAUCAAAAAAAAGAAAAAUCCCAACAACAAAGCACAAUUUUUAAAGUUCCUGACCUAACUAACAUGUUACAAACAAGAUACUAUGUAAAAACCAAAAAACCCCAAAGGCCAGAAUAAAUACACAAAGCUGUCUUUGACCUGGGGACUGGCCCACAUGACAAACAAAUGCACUGCCACUAAGCCACAUACGUAUGCCGCAUGAACAGAAAUAAAAGUGCUCAGGGUAGGCCAAUGAUUUGGUAUUUUGUAUCACUACUGCCGUGCACUUCUAAACUGCAUCGGUUUUAAGAUGUUCCUGUGAUUUUGUGAUAAUCCAGCCUAAACUUGUAGGCCUGUGGCAUUGUCAAUUGUUUCACCCACAAGCCCAAAUGCUGUGCAUGUGAAGUGCAUGCUUCUGGUCAUGAGGGUCAAGAUGACCAUGCCAAAAUGGAGAAAUGGUUUAGAAAAUAUCAAGAAAAAAGGUGAAGAUGCCUACAAAGAAAUUUUGGGGUACGAAGUUGUUUUGGACGGUCCCAUUUUGCACAACGCUUAUGAAGCUGGUGGCACACUGAAUGGGCACUAUGGCUGUCUCCUCUCUUUGAUCACCCCUAAGAACACCUCACAUUUUCUAACCAAAAUAGGCAGUAGUAACUUCUCGCACCAAAGUUGACUAAGAAGCAAAGCACUGUAUAAAUCUUUCAAAACAUGUUUAAAUAUAGCUUACUGAACUGGGACCACUGGGCAGAAACUGCUGAAACUAUUCAGACUGUUAAAAACUAAAAUGCGACAUGAUCUCAACAUAUGUGAACAUUCAAUUAUAUGAUUUUUUUUUUCCAACAUAAUAUCAAAUUUAAGACUGAAGUAAAGUAAAUGUGACUUGACUGCUUUGGAAUCUUCCUAAGACAAAUGACUGGAAGAGAAAGGUGUUUUAUUUCCUAUUUGAAUCAAUGAUCAAUAAGUCUUCUACACGAGAAUCAUGAAUUUGGAAUAUAAAACACACUUUUCUAAUAUGUGUAAGUUAAACUGAAUAAAAUAACUAUGUUUUUAGAGCAAAACUCACUAUUUUCUAAGUCACUGCAGUCCGUAAUUAUGAAGUAACUUGAAUAAGGCAUCUUACAUUGGUCCUAAAUUUUUUACUCAAGUAAAACACUCAUUGAUUCCAAUGUGAGUGUUGCCUGAGUAAUAGAGUUCCCUGUCAAACUGUUAAAAUCAGCUAACUUCUAAAAAGCCUGCGGAUUGAUGGAAUAGCAUGAUUAUACUGAAGGUAUGUAUUUAAUACGGAAAAAAUAAUUCAAGCUACCAGGCAAAAGGCUUUUUAACAUUUACAAUAAAAUAAAGUGGUAAUCUACGCAGAUAUUUUAAGGCGGUUUAUAAUUCUGUGCCUGGUCAUACAGACUCUUAUGCUUGUGACUUUAUUUAUGAAAGUGAAUCGGUACUCUCGUGUCACAAACAUUUGUGGUUUAGCAUCUAAGACAAAAGAAAUAGGAAUAAAUGGGCUUUAAAUAAUCCACUAGCAAAACAAGGCUAUUUGUAACUCAAUUAAGGUGGAUUACGGUGUAGGAGUUAUUUUGGAAUGUCGUAUUUAAAAGUUUGUGACUGAUGAUAUAUAUUUUCUUUGUCUGAUUGCAUAAGCUCUUCAUCAGCAUUGCAUAUAGUACAGUUAGAUUUUUUUAAUGUUCUUAUAAAAAUUAGAACUCCUUUACAAAAACACCAACAUCAAGCAAACGAAAAACACCAAAAUACACCUUGUUCUCUCUUUUAUUUAAUGAAGUAUUGAAAUCUUAAUUCUAACAAGAAUACUAAGUAAAUAAAUGUUAACUCUGCUCAGUAUUAGCAUAGUUGAAAUCGCAGUUUAUAAAUUUUUGAGAGCAUCGCCAUCAUGAUAUGGUUGUCAUAGAAACUGCAACAAUAUGUCAUUUCAAUUAUUUUUACAUGCAGUGAUGCUGAGGUCUGUGUAACAAUUUUUUUUUAAGAAGUUAUUGAAGUAAAUAUUGAAAAGCAGGAAUAAAAAUAUGAAUAGGUAACAGUUCCCUUAAACUAUUAUUUAAUUAAGAAAACAGGAAGAAAUCUAAAUAUUGUUAAAACUGUAAUUCAGCACAUAGCUGGAGAAACUAGUUAUGUAGACUAGUAGACUUUCACUUCAAAACCACUGAAGUUAAAAGAGAAAAGACAGAAACAUUCAAACUCUAAUUGAAAAUAGUAUCAUUUCCCAAUGAAGCAGAUUUGACAAAAUACGGGAAAAAAAAAAAAAAAAAAAAAAAGAAAAAAAAAAGAUUUAUUCCUCUAAGAAAUAUAAAAUAUUAAAUAGUUUUAAACCAUGAAUGGUCCCUUUAUGUGUGUAAGAAGCAAAAAGUCAAAUGUUACAAAUCCAGAACCAAAUACAAUAAUAAUAAAAAAAAAGCUUUAAAGGUAGGAAAUGUAACAUGAAUAGAUUUAUUUUUCCUGUAUAAUGCAGCUACUGUGUGUUAUGAAUGCUACCUUAAGUAAAUUAUUGCCAGCCACACUCAACUGACAUUAAUGACUUGAUUAUUAGAACAGAAAAGCUAACCAAAAUAAAGGCAAUGUUUUUCUUGUUGUUGUUGUUGUUUUGCUUUUUUUAAAAAUAAUUGUGUUUUAGUGGUAUGAUUUUUUUUUUAAUUUUUAUUUUUUUUACUGUUACAGGAAAGCAUCAGCAUAUAGUCUUGGUUUUGUAUUGCAUAUAUAAGAUACAAUACCUAAUCCAAUAGUUUAUACAUGAAAGAAAAUGCUGAGCAGAUCCUAGUGAGACAGAAUGUAGGUUUUCAACACGUUUUACACAGUAAUCAAUAAUUACACAGUAUAUUUUGUUUAAAUUUACGGAGUUGUCACAUAGAGUAGAAUAUGCAAGACCUUUCAAACUGAGACAUGAAACAAGCUGUUUGUAAGUAGAUGGAAACUACCAAUAUUGAAAACAAAACCAAAGAAAGGAAAAAAAAAGGAAAGCAAAAGCAAAAAAAAAAAAAAAAACAGCAGCCUAAAGAAGCUAUCUGAAGCGAGAAAGGAGAAGCAUCUAGAGCUAUCCUUUCUGAUAGGAUUAAGGAAUGCUACAAAAGCAUUUAAAUCUCUAGUUUUCCCUGACAAUUAACAAUGAAAAGCAGAUGUUUACAAAGCUAUUUUACAUGCUGGUUUAUAAGAUGCUAAAAGAUGGUUUGUGGAUGGUAAGAAGGAAGAGCUGGAUAACUGCUUGUCUGGUGUAUAUUUAAAAGCAUUUUCAUUGGCUCAGUUAUUGUUAAUAAUGAAAGAAACACUUUGUGCUGUAUGGCUGUGACUAUAGAAAACUGCCGUCAUAAAGUCCUCAGCAAACUCUUAAGAUGCAAUUUACAAAGAUAAUAAUAACACAGAAUUAUUUCACUUCUCUGAAUGCUACACAUUUGCAUACCAGGACUGUGUACAAUAUACUCAUAAUGCACAUUCAUAACAACAAGGACUUCUUAACACUGCAACAGCACAAGAUCUGUGCAUUAAAAAUCUACAGUUCCAAGUUUUUCUUUUUGGUGGCAAACCAUUUGUCUGUAUCAGCCAGAUGCUCUGCAUCCACACAGGAUAAGCCCACAUUCAAUUCUACACCUUCACUGAAUGUCAUCAUAGCAAGGAAAUUACGGAACACUGGAUGGUAGCAAUAAUACGAACCACUUCACUCUCCUAUCAAAAUAUGGCAAAUUCACUUUUCACACAAAUUACAGAAGAAGUCUGGUCUACAAGUGUGAGUCAGGAGAUGUGGGUUCUAUUCCUGGCUGUGCUACAAACCUACAGAGUGUUUUUGAACAAGUCACUUACACCAAGUCACUUGAGCAAAAAAAAAAAAAAAAAAAUUCAAAGAAUGCAUGCCUCAAGCUCGAUUUAGACAGAUCCCUAUCUGCUUAUAUCGGAUGCAUGCAAAUGUAGGCAUCUGUCUCUGAAAAGCUGGGGCCUAUCCUUUCUGGACUUUUCAUCUUCUUAUCCUAUUUCUUUGUUGGGAAACGUAAUUCAUAAAAGACUGCUCACAUCAAUUAUAUUUAUGUGUAACGAGAGCACCAUUAAAAGUCCCAGUCCUGCAAAGACUCACAUGCACGUUUCACUUCACACAUUUGUGGUAGUCCAAUUUACUCUAAUAGAAUUAUUCACUCUGUAUAAUUCUAGGCAUAUAAACUUCUGCAGUAUCAGGAACUAGCUUAAUGGAAUAGAUAACGUGUAAAAAUACUCAUACAAGUUAGUAAUGAGGCUCAGACUUCACAUCCUUGAAGUCCUGCAUCACAUUCUACGGCAGGAUUCUUUAGCUAUUGCUAUUAUCAUGGCCUAAUAGAAGCAAGAGGAUGCACAGCCAACUUGACAUUAAAAAUGUUGCCUAUCUUAUCGCAUCUACAUUUUCAAAACAAACAAAAACCUCUUUGUGCCAUAUAAAAAAAAAUUAAAAAAAAAAAAAAAAACACUUUAGUUCUAAUCGUAAGAGAUACUCAUAAAUCACCUGUGAGUUACCACCAUCCAAGCUGGUUUUUAUUUUACCUCAGACACUGAAUAAAUUCCAAUUCCUGUUAAUGCUUAUGUUCUUCCUACUAUUUACUCUGUUAUAAAUGAAUAUAUUGCACUGAAGCACAACAAUAUUUAAUUCAUAUUAGUUGGCCAGAUUUAAUUUCUUUGAUGGACUCUAAAACAACUCAGAAUUCCCAUCUAUAGGCUACUCUCUUGGAGUAAAAUUAUGCUACAUAUAUAAUGAUAUGCAAAGUAGGUCAAGUUCCCAAUUUGCAGAUACAGCCAUACUUAACUUCACCCAAAUGGGGACUGCUUAUGGUUUAAACUAAACAUGAAUAUCAAUGUUUACAGAAUUGGGGCAGAAAGUAGCAAACAGUCUUCCUGAUUUAGAUGGAUUUUUACACAAAUUAUAAAUAACACAAAUUAUUUACACAGAAAUCUAACAGCAAGGCAUUAUUGAAAAUAUUUUGUAUACCUUUUAAAGAACGCCAUGGGGAAAAUACCUUCUCAGAAGCAGUUAUUGGUAGGGGAGAUGGGGACAAAAGGAGGAAACUUCUGCCUCGGUCUGUAAGAGCCCGCACUAAUGCCAAAUCGUGUAGCAGCCAACACAAUGCAUCGUGUAACUGCCUGUUUGCAGUACUGCCAGCUUCCUCAGCCCUGAGAUACGGCAGGUACCAUCCCUUCUCCCUCCCCUGCUUCCCCCAGAAAUUAUACUCCUGGUUGCCUCCUUGACUUCUGGCCUGCCACAACCCUGGGCAAGGGGGCCACGAUUUGCCUCUGUCUCAGGAUUUUGCCAUGAUUUUAAUUUGAUGGCAUUUUAAUAAUACGGACUGGUUAGAUUUCUCAGACAUCUAAAAUGUCUGUGACUAAGGUUUCUUUUUUUUUUUUUUUCCUUUCCUCUUUCCUUUUCGUUUUUUAACAUGUUCACAGUCUUCAGCAAAGGAGCCCAUGCUCGUGGAAGUUAGAAUUUUAAACAAAAUAACAAAAUUAUGGUGAGCAAAAGGAGAGCACUUUACAAUCAGUAUGGUCAGCACCACCACCCUCAAAUCCCCAACUCUUAUGAUCAGAAAGUAUAAAAUAUUAUUAGUGUGGUAAUUUUCCAUUUAAGCAUUGAAACCCAGAGUGGAUUGUAAAGAUAUUUUCAAGGGGUCACAGCUUCUGCUUUUGCUUUUCCUGCCCUUUCUAGAUCUCACAGCUGUAAGGAAAAAUUGUCAUGUUAUGGUUUGCAAUGUACAAAACUAGGGAGAGUUCAGCACGGAAUUAACAACGUAUUAGGCUUGAAUGCACACAUCUAUUGUGACCACAAAUGAUGAAAAUUCUAUAAUAUAUCCUGCAUAAUCGUUGUGUUUGGCACAGGUAGCAACGCCUAAAAAAUGCAGACAUGCUUUCUAAGGUUCUGCGUCACAUAAGGAUUUGUUAAGGCCAAUUCAGUGAAAAAGGGAGAUAGGAAAAGACUAAAAUUGGUGCUUUAAAUGUAGUAUCCCAUACUGAAUCUUUUUUUCCAAUUCUUGAAUUUCAGAUUCUGAAAUGCCCAGUCCUCUCCUAUAGUGCGUUUGGCACACUUGUUUUCUAAGAGUGGGAUUCAAACUUUUCAAAGCCUUUACAUGAGGAACUUGUUUCUUUUUGCUCAAGAAAUUAAUGAAAGAUAGGAAUCCUUUGAUUUAGAGAGAAGUUUUAUUUUGUGGAGAAUAUUAAGGGAUUUUACUGUUGAUAUUUUCACAUUAAUAUACAUUAUUUAUCUCCACAGGGUGGCGAAAAAGAGAAAAUUGCAAAGACUUACUGGGUGGCAGGAAGUGGGAUUCACUAUAAUCAACAGCAGCAGGGGACUCUUUGAGGUUGUGUUGCAAGAUAUAUUCAAGAUUUUAGCAGAAAGAAAAUAAUUGCAUUUAAUAUUGUGCUGGUGGGAAAUAACAUAUGUUCAAUCUUUUCCAGCUUUUAUACUUACAUUCAGAUUUAGACUCUUGCCCUUAAGAUGCAGAGAUACUACUCCUUAAGAUUUGAAGACUUUUUUUUUUUUUUUAACACUACAGUUAUGCAGAGCAUGUCACAUUAUUAGCCAGGUAGAGCUUUAUGCUACUUUCAAAUUUGCUAUUUGACUUCAAAAAUUUACCAAAAUUUCGUGAACAUACUUACUGGACAAAAUAAACAGCCCUGUGUUCAAUAACCAAGUUAUUUCCAACCUAUAAUGAAGUUUCCAGCAUGAUGUUCAGAUUUUUGAAUGAAAAAUUCAGAAAUAAUGUGAUUUCUCAGAUGUUUGCUUAAAAAUUCUUUCUGGGUUGAAUCACUACACUUCACAAAAAUUCAGAGCUUCUUUAAAGUGGAUGUAAUUCUGUCUAUGUAAAGAGUAGCUGAUAAGUUGAUGAAAUAAUUUAAGUUUCUUAAUACAAAAAAGCUGCUGGUCUUACAAAGGUUUUCUGCACUUAAGGGUGGAAAAAAAUUGUGCGUAUGAUAAACUAACAUUGAGACUCAAUUAUAACUCGUAUAACUUCAGGAAAUUAAAAGUAGCUGUCUAGUCUAAGCUAAUUGUGUAGAAUUCCUUUAUAAUCAAAUACAUACAUGCAGAGAGGUAUCUCCAUGACAUGUUUCAGAAUUGCCCUGCUUUGCCCAUAAGAAACUGAUGUAGAAAAGGAAAAACUGGCCACUGGAGGAGUCUGCCCCUUUCCCCUGAAGAAGGACUUCGAAACAAUUAAUUUAGGCGAAAGCUAUCUUUUAGUGACUACAGCAGUUGAGAUGAAUUCUACCUUGCAAGACUAUUGCAGCCCUUGUCUAGUCUCACCAUUUAUGAACAUUUCAAUGAAAGUUGAUUAAAUCACUCCUUCUCUUAACCCUAUUGUUUUCUGUAUUCUCUGCAUAAAAACACAUCAAAAACUUUUGGAAUAUGAGAGAUGUCAGAGCUGGGCUGUACAUCGACACAGACCUACAAGUGCCUGCAAAAAGACUUGAACUGGGAGUUGUGUGUUGAAGGAGAAGGUGGGGGGAGCAAUCUUCUGUUCAAGAAAAGCCUUCUUGAAAGUAAUAUCAAGACUAAGCGGACUGGUUUCCUUUGUAAAAUGUAAUCUCUGUACUUCACAAGCUGCAGUUCCAUGGUUACUUAUGUGGCUUACUGGCUGGCAUCAGAGAGAUCACCUUCAUCGCUCCCAUCCUACUACCAUCUUAAGUCAGCUGAAGAAACAGCUCUGGGCUAGGGGAGAGGGGCUGUUGUGAUGAGGAAGCAGCUACAAAAAAAACAGUGCUGGCACAAUGGGAGACAGAGCUGAGUGUCUGGGUGCUGGUGCGGAGAUCAUGCCACUGCUGUGAGCUUAAAGGAAGAGUGGAACCACAGCCUGAGGAUGCGAUCCUGUGGCCCAUUAAACAGACAAACAGUCAGUUGACACAGUGCUGCCUCCCAUCCUUUCUGUACCAACUAAGCAUUUCUAUUCUUUCCCUUGCAUCAGCACUAACACCCACACAAGUGCGCAGGAGCCAAUUCAGGGAGGUGACUUGUCUGGAAGCUAACCCCACAGCAGUGAAGAGAAAAAAAAGAAAAAAAGAGACCAAACAAAAAAAAAAAAAAAAAACUUUCAACCAGAUCUGCUCCAAGGAGCAAUUCACAGAAUGAUCACACUAGGGCUAGUGCCAGCACAAUGGAGAAGGUGGAAACACAGAGCCAGAGGCAAUAGAGGAGACGACAAAGCAGCCCAAACUUAGAUCAACUCCAGCUGUGAUGGACCCGGAGCCAGAGCCAGCCUGACCACUUACAAGCUUCCUCUAAAACCUCUGCACUUUUUUUUUUUUUGAAAACACUGUGAUAGAAUGAGUAAGUAUAUGGAGUCUGAAUCACCAAGAUGCCAAAGAAAAACAAGAAAUAAAAUCAGGAAGCUUACUUAUACACCGAAUGAGACAAGAAACAAGAAAAAAACACCAUGGUCUUAAAGUUGUCUAGCACAGUUUCUGUAGAAUGUACUAAGCAAGGACAAAUCAUUCCUGACUCAAGUCCUGGAGCAAUACAGACCACACUUUUCAGUGAGUUUCCACUUUCUAAGCUGUCAUUGUGUAGUUUGGGGCUGACAGGAAGACAUUAGCAGUGACUUCAGAAAGCAUUCCUUAUAGUUUGCAGGACUCCGUAACACCAUCAUUAUAGGACAUAUUAUUCCACAGACUAUUUUUUAGAUAACCAAAACAAAUGUGUGCAGUGCACUCAUCACUGAGAUGAGAAGAUAAGGCAGAGACAGCUUCAGAAAGACUGGAAAAGCCUGAGACUGAGAAGCCAAAAGCCAGCAUUUAGAAAAUUAAUGGUGCUCAAGACAGGACUUCUUUUCUCUACGCAGGGAUCUUAACUCUGCCUGCCCGCAAACACAGAAAUGUGAAGCUUUUGUUAUUUCAGGAUGCAUAGCUUUUCAGUACAAACAAAUUUACCCUAGCUUAAGUUUGCAACGGCCACUAUGUAAGAUGUGAUCAAGUGCUGGAAAAAUGAAUUUAGAAGAAAGGAGAAAAAUCUUUAUUUAUGGGGAAAUAAUAAUCAACAACAAGAAGAUUUCUAGUAUUGCAUUCCCUGUAAAUAAAAAAGCAACAUCUCCUAUGGUGGCUAUGGUAGCAAUGCUAAGAAAAAUAUCAAAAUCUCUGUAAGAGAUAAAUUUUCUUAAAGCAUUGGAAGUAGACAAAAGCUGAAGGGAAGCUAUAAAGGAUUGGCAUGUUAACUCCUGAAGGAGAGCAAGCUCUUUGAAAAUAACUUUGAUUAGAUCAGUAAGCCAAUUACAUGGAGACUGGCUCAGACCACUGAGGUAUUUCAUUAGUUUAUGUAUGCAAGGUAUGUAAAUAAACAGGUAUUAGUUAGUAGGUUUCGUUUUUCUAUCUGCAGCCUGUACUAGUUGGAAGGAAGCUAAAACCUAUCACCGAUUUAGAGGAAAACACAUAUGAAAAUAUUAAAAAAAAUGCUAUUGACCACCUGACUCGCCACAAAGGCCCAGAAUGAAGGACUGUAACAGACACCAAAGUGAUGCUUAGCAUCCUGAAACCUCUGGUCCCAAGCAUACAUAUCGACGAGCAGACAGGUCUCUACAUCUACGUAGGUUAAAGCUGCAUUUACAUAUCCAUUUGUACUCUCACUGUUGUAGUAUUUUCCUGUACUGAAUUACAAACGCUCUAGGUCCUCCCCUGAAAACUAAAGAAUUAGUAACUCUGUAUUAAUUAUAUGACAGCGUAAAAAGAUUUCAGAACGGUCACUACAAGGGUCAAGGUACAUUAAAGGUUAACACAAAGAUUUGAACACAAGAUGGGAUAAAAAUGCCUGCUUCUGGAGAAUGGCAGUAGAAUAUUGGGGAAAGAGCGUAAAGGGUACUUCAAGGGGAAAUGCUGGAAAAGAGCUGUCAAAUGAAUUCAGAGAAGAGAAAAGGGAUCAGAAGUAAUUCACGUGCAAUCAGUCUGUUUUCGGAUUUGGAGAAUUCUAGGAUUACAGUUUUCUAGAAAUGAAAGUUUCCCUGAAGCCUUUUCAUGUGUGACUUUCCUUGGACCUAUGUACAGAUGUUGAGGAGAGGAGAGGAAAGGAAGUCGCCUUAUGAAGCUUUGCUUACUGGCCUGUCCUGGGAGAGGCCAUAAAAACAAAGUUUAGUUGACUUAAGCCAAUUUAUUUUUUUAUUUUUUUAUUUAUUUUGGUUAGCGAGCAGAAAGCAUCCUGGGAAGGGAAAAUAUAUAGCCACCAGGAGAAUAGGACAGCAUCUCUGAAAGGGGGAAAAGGAAACAUGGACUUUGAUGAUACGAAUGCAAAACCACCUGCAAUUCCCAUGCCUUUCCAGCCUGUUUUCUUUAUGCAGAUUUGGUAGCAGUCCUCACAACGGAGUUCUCAUUUGUCAAGCAGAUCAAGUCAGUUUUGCUUAAACUGCCUGUAGGAGCACAGCUUGAGGAUUCAACCACACUUAGUGGCUAGACUUAAUUAGAUUCAGCAUCUGACCAUUUUUCCUAAAGGAAUUUGUCACAGAGACAGGACACUUUUUUUUUUUUUUUUUUUUUUUUAAAAAAAAGGCACAGUUUCAUCUUAGUGGAAAGAUAGUAAAAGAUAUGAAUAAGAAUAUAAAAACCACAGAAUGUCUUUCCUAUCUACAGUAUUUUAAUGUACAAACUAUACCUCUUGUCUAAGCCAUCACAGAGUCCAGAGAUUGCAGCUGUGUACCUUUGAGGAAAGCCUGGAACUGCUUCCUUCACUUUGGAUGCUUCAGGCAAGGUUUUGCAGUUCCCCAUGCUGUGUACCACAGGAGCACCCACUCCAGCACACCUCCUCACAGUCCUACCGUCACACUGAAUUACGGCAUGCAUGCAGAAAACAUUGCAAUAACACCAUUAGGAAGUACCCACCCGAAAUUACUAGAUCACACAAAGUAUUCCAAAACCAAGCCACAUUUCCUACCUGACAUUUUUAAACAACGUCACUACUGAGGGGAGAUCACUGGUCUCCCUUCAGGAUCUUGAUACCAAAUGGCCUCUUUAUCAAAUGGCAGCCAUUAGGAGAAUUCAUGGGUGAAUCGACGAUCUUUUAAAGUCUGAUGGAUUGUCACUCACCUCCUCUAAUACACUAAAUAUGAUGUUUUUUGAUUUGACAUUUUGGUACACUCACACAAAAAAGGCAAGUCUUAAAAAAAUAAUAAAAAAUAAAAUUUUAGAAAGUAAAGAUUUGCAAAUGCUUAUGAGUGCAGCAGGUAUAAAUUGCAUUAUAAAAACUGUGAAGUAGAUAAUCAGUAUGCCAAGAUGCCAGAUACCAAGGUUGUAUUUAAUUUUAUUGUUUUUAAACAAACUGAAGCUAUGUUCAACUCACUCUUAAAAUUUAGAUACUCCUGUGGAAAGACGUAAAAAGGCUAAAUCCCUAGACAACAAAGAAAAAACCAAAGUCCUCCAUCCUAAACUGUCACCAGGAUGUACAAAUCGAUUAAUUACAAUGCACAAAUAUUAGCUAGGUUGCUUAUUGGUAACGUAACGUGUAAACUUAAAAUGAUACUGCACUGAAGGUUCACUUUUCAGGCAUGCUGUCCUGUACUAGGCUUAAGUAUCUUUCCCUGCACAACUAUUAAAAGUGCUUUCAAGUAUGUGUACACAGUGUACAUUUCUCAAGAAUUAUAAGUUUGAACAUUUGAAGUUCUGACUUCUUAACUAAAUUACUUGUAGUUACAGAUUGCCUCUUGGUCUCUCACAAUUUUAAAGUGAUUUUAAAAACACAGUAGUUGCAUAUUUACAUGUUAAAAUGGAAAUGGUUAUGGUUCCAAUCUGCUUCUCAUAACAUACAAAAAUAUCAGUUAUGCAUAAUUCUGGUGGGCACCGCACUUUAUUAUAUUAGCAUUAAAAAAAAAAAAAAAAAGACAAUUUUUCUUUACCAGAAGUUUAUGAACUAGUUGGAAAGUUGAUCUAUAAAUCAGGCAAAGAAUUUCGCUAUUAAUGACUUUCUCUCUUGCUUCAAAGUAUCUAUUGCACAGAGACUUCAUUGAACUGGACUGCAAAAAAGAAGUUACACAAUAACAUUCACCUUACUUGUUGCAGUUUUAAUUUACUUCAGUGUAUUAUCACAUACUUCAAAAUCAGUAAUCAGUAACCUUAUAUUUGAAAUUCCUUACCUAUUUUUCAGCAACAAAAACAUUCAAGUAUUUCAAAAACAAUUGUUUCUUUAAUAACACCGCAAAUAUUAGCUUCAUUACAAAGAAAAUGAAAUUAAUUAUAUUGCUAUCCAAGAACAAUGUAAGUUUCAAACAACAAAACCACCAAACAUAAGAAUGGACUUCAACUUCAUGUUAAUUUCACUAUGUAUGUAAGACUGUUAUCUCUGUUCAAUUGCUCAAUAGUUCAACAUUGGCAACCCAUUUGAACGUCCCCUACACACAAAAAUAAAUAAAUCAUUUUUAACUGUGUUACAAAAUUCUGUCAUUUUGAUAACACUGAGACCCCCAACUGCAUCCCAUUAUAUCAGGCACUACUUAUAUAGACAGGAGAUAUACAGUAAAUGGGAGAUUCUGUCCUGAACAGUGACAGAAAAGAGAAGAAAGAAUGUAGCACAUAAAUAAAAAUACAGAUUGUAGAGCUGAAAGUAAGCAUUUCCUACUCACAUGGGAAGACCACGGCACAGCUAAAUAUUACACCAGAUCUCAUGCUGCCUUCUAACACAGAAUUCCUUCCUUGGUAUCUGCAUACACGAGGCUUUCCUUGCCUUUCCGCCAAACUCACAAAUUAUUAAAACUCAGAGCAAGACAAGCAAGAUAUUUAGGACCUCUAUGCUCUUCUUCUAAUUAAAAUCUUCAAAUUAAAAUUAACAUGCUAAACAGCAAGUUUCAAGCAUCACCUGUCAAGACCACAAUGUGAGCUUGUCCCUUACUUGCUGCUAACAACUUCCUUUCACUCAAGGUCUAUGGAAGAAGGCUCGAAGCAACAAGUUUUCCUCUAGUGAGUAAAGGAAGAAACUGUCACCUGAAACUUUCCUUUGCCAUCUUAGAAUAUAAUUACACAAGUAUGACUGGGGAAGUUAAUUGCUAGCGUUAUCCCCAUCUCCUCAUGAUGUUCCUAAUUCUUAGCUCACCCAUUCACCUAACAAGAAAUCCAAGAGCUAGAACGUACAUCGUUCCAUUACGGUAUAAUAAUCAUAGGAGAGUACACGCCUUCACAUUCUUAACCAUUCAUACGCGUGUACGUACGUAUAUUUACAUGCACAGCGACACACGAAGACCAGUACAUUUAUAGUAUACAGACAGACAUAUAUAUAUGUACUUCUGGAUUAAAUCAAAAUAUUUGAAAGAAAAUUUUGACCACAGUCAUGACCUGUUAAUGAGCCAUUUGUUCAGGCUUUUCUUUGGAAAAGAAAUAGCCCACCUCCAUCUCCAGCACCAUGCCUUAACAUGACUUCAGGCAAAACUUCCCUUCUGGCCUCCAGAGUCUCUGACCAACACCUUUGCUCUGCUUCCAACUCGCAUGGGUAUCAUCUAACUGCUUUUGAGGCCAGGUUUUCACAAAAUAAUAGAUUAAAAUAAUGGGAAUGCUGUUUAGCAGAGAACGUAUUCUGCGGAGCUCUGCGUAGUACCAGAGGCACCGAUGCCCUGGAAGAACUCACAGGGCCAUGCUUGCUUCCCCUGCCUGGAAAUUCAGAACCACCUUUCAACCAAAGGUAAGAUUUCAUUUUCAGUUUAACCUGUCCUUAUUCUUAAGCUGUAUUUCUGCAGGCAUAUUUAUCCAGCACGGCACUUUGUCUAUCACCAAAUUAUUGCAUGUUUUAUUCUUUGUUUUAUCCUGCAGAGAUUUGGUUGGUUUUGUUGCCUAAAGCAACAAGCAGAACAACAAACAGUUCCAAGGAAGCUCCUCUUGCGCAGCUGUGGGCAUGCUCAAAAUUUACCUCCUAAAGCCUGAUCACAAGUGAAGGGUGCUUGAAUUUUAUCAGUCCUCAAAACAAAACAUUUUUACUUGUUCUGACAUAAACUUGAUGAAAUUUGGAUUUAAAUAAAAAAAUUUUAAAAAAAGCCUCAUCACUGUAAAACAGAACUAAAUGUCCUAUUUCUCGGUAGCCCUCCAGAAGAAUGCUCUGGAUGUUUGUUUAAAUACAGAAAGCAAGCUUAUGAAAUAAAGUGCAUAGACUUGUCAAACAAAAGCAGAUCUUCGGCUCUUCACUUUCACUCGUCCACAAUUCUCCUGAUUUAUAUUAACUAGAUUGCUGCCAUUGACAGUCUUUUUGCUAAUGCAUGUCACUUGAAUGCAAACAUAAAGCUAAUUUUAGGAAUAGUGUAAGCAUCAUGGUAGAAGUACCCCCCACACACACUAAGUUAUUAAUUUUUUGCCCAAUAAACAACAACAUUUUCCUCAUAAAUAUCAAGGAGGUAAUUGAUACUGAUUAUCUGAUUCAUUUUUAAAAGGCCAGCCCCCUCAUUUCUCCACAUUUAAAGAGAGCUGGGCAUCGGUAUGGAGCAGCAGGUUGAAACACUUAAAAUAAUUGACGGGACAAUGUGCAGACUCCAAGAAGCUUUCUUGUAUGGGUAUCUUCUAAAUCUAAUAUUAAGCUUUUCUCUGAGUUUAUAAUGUGUGAGAUACAGCCCAAUGACUUGUUCAUUACAGUCUUUUUCCCUCCCUUCUGUUUUCACGUUUGGGGGGUUGUUUUUUGUUUGUUUUUGUCUCUAGUACACAUUUGGGUCUAUUGCCUUUCUUAAAUCCCAGAAUUUGUGGUAAGAACUUAUCUAAUAAACAAUUUUCUAAAUGUCCUAAGGUAUGUUGCAUAACUCACAACUCCUCCUCAGAUAAACAGCUGUUGCACUGAGGUGUUCAGCAUCUUCACAGCAAAACAAGCUUGUUUCAACAGUUUAAAAUGGAGAGAUCAGCCUAUAUUGGUACAUCUAAAUUACAACUGCUUAAGCAAAGUGCCCUCAAUGUGGUUUUCAGAUUCACCAAGCAGAGAUUACUGAAAGCUAUAACUGCUUGUUUUCCCGAGACUACUUUUUUGGAAGAGUGGCUUUGCCUGCUAUGAAAUAUUUUCCAAAUCCCAACACCUAAAGCUGCUGUAUUGUACCUUUAAAAGUAAAUGUGUGCACUUUUCAACAAUAAUACAGUAAUACCCCAUCACACGCUGUAAGUACCAUCUCCACUGCACCUAUAGAGAAACAGAGCUAUAGAAGGAGGCCUUAAUUGAGCCCAUUCACAAAGAAUGUCUGUAGCAUAACUGCAAGGAAAACCCUGACUUCUUGAAUCCUUAUGCCUUAACCACUCCACCAACAUAAACACUGCACUGCUCCUUACUAAUUAUUUCCUAAGAAAUAAGCAUAGCAUACUUGAAAACUGCAGCACAGAUAAGCCUGAAACAGCUGUUCAGCUGCUUAUACUUACAGAUACAAACAGUACACAGUGCGUAAUCCACCUGGAGUUUUCAGAAGGUUUUGAUGUCAAUGCUAUUCAAACACAUCUUCGAAAAUGUUGAGUCUAUAAUCCCUCAGUAUGUGACAGAUAAAGGGUUCCUUAUUGAUUUGAGGCCAGGAUUUCAGCAUAGUGUACCUCAUGCAAACUUAAGGCUUUUUAUGUUGUUUCUUUGUCUGGCUACUCCUUUUUCACUUUUAAACACGCAAUCUGUGACCGUAAGACUUCAGAAAAAAUCCAGAACUGUUUUCCUUGUAAUUCAGUACACCCAGAUAAAGCCAUGCUAGAAGGUUAUUAUUGAUGUUUUGUUUGUUCUUGCUAUACACACUAUCUAUUAUAGGUAAUCCUGGGAUGUUCUGAAAAAUCAUUGCUAAAAUUAAAGACCUUUUGUUUGAACUUGAAGUUUUGGUGACUGAAAGGCAUGCGCCAUUAGAAGAAAAGUAACAAAAAACCUGCAGAAGACUGUGCCUCCUUACUCCUACCCCUUUUUGCAAACAAGCCAUUAAAAAAGUGUGCUACAGUAACAUCACCAAAUUGGUUCAGGUGCCCCAGGUUAGGAUUCACAGGGCUUUCCUGGGACAUAUCUUGCCCUCCUUAGCACUGCCAGAGUUGCAUCAUUAUCUCAUUAAGUUUAUUUAAAAACUUUUCACCCUAUUUGUGUGAGAGGCUGCAACUAACAGGCUGUUUUGUAAACCAUGCAAGUCUAUUUGUGUUCAUGCAAUGCUUGAGAUUUGUCUACAUAUAAACGUUAUGCUUAACUAUGCUGAUUUAACUUAAUCAGCUCAGGUCCUGUACUGUGAUGAGACCUAAAACUGUUUUCUACGUGUGAAGUUCCUCGUGUUAUGGAAGAAAGACGUGGCCCUUUCCUGCUACUGUAGCUGCAGCCCCAUCCAGGUGACACCUGCACAACUAUUUCAGUAAACCUAGGCCAUUCUUAGCAGAAAUUAUAUGUAGGCUCCCAUGGUGUAGAAACCCCAUGAAAGCCAUGAAAAUUCACUAAGCUUCCUUACGUACAGUGCCAAGAUAUUCAGCAGGAACUUUGGUCCUUGCCAAGAAACACGUGUGCCUCAGAUACAGAAGCUCUGCAUGUACCGGUAUUUCAACAUUCCUGGAGAGAAAUGUGACCCCUUGAUGCAUACACUGCUUUGCUGGCAUGCUUGCAUUCCUCCCCAUCUGUCAGAGUGGCAUCCUGCCUUCUCACAAGGUGGGAUGCCAGUUUUGGAGCACAGGUGCCAACCAAAUAUAGGUUCAGGCUAAUACUCUGCAAAAUGCGGCAAACGACAUUUCACCUGCAAGAAGAUCGUCCUACCUCUGACCCAUGCCAAAUAGGAUUGCAUGCCUCAUUAACAAAGGGGGUCAUCUUCUGAAAAUCAUAGGCAGCACCAGAAAUGCUGCUUUUCUCUGUAAUAUCUUCUAGCUGAGAGUCUUCAGCUUCUGAGGCUUCAUUUACAAGACACCAGAUUUUCCUAACAUCGCGGACAUACAGAGCUUUUGAGAAAGCUGCAAUAGACCAUGGGCAGAGAGAAGUUGAAUUCAUCCCCCAAAAUUCAAUUCUGACAAAUUCCAGGACUCUUAAAAAGGGAAGGUGAAUUAACAGUGAGGGAAAAGCAUAAGUAAAGACUUGGGUUAUCUUUAAGGGGGUCUGCUGGCAACACAAAGAAAGCUACCUUUAUUAUGACUGGCAAAAAAACAAAAAACAAGACAACAACACUUGUUAACCACCAAAGUACUCACAUAAUCCUAAAAUUCUUAAGAGAGAACCAGAUGUUUCUAUAAGAAAAUUUGACAUAAAAUACAAAAAAAAAAAAAAAAAAAAAAAUUAGCUUUUAGUUUGAGAAUUUACAUAGACGUGAAAGCACACUAGUAAUGAACAGCCAUUGAAUGAAAACUAUUUGAUAUACAAUGAAAAUACUGGUGAAUAUUAAACAGUAUCUCAAUAUCCUCAGAAUAAAGUAUGUUUCAAACUCCUUCUUUAACGAAAACAUUCCACACUCUGUAAUCUAAAAAGAAAAAUUAAAUAUUCACUUGAUCGAUAAACAGAAUAACCCAAAAAUAGUAUCGGUUUUGCUUUUAAAUUAGCUUAGCUCACUUGAUACAUAAAUCUACACAACAAAAUCAAAGCACUGUUAGUC